GAUAAAAUUUGUUGAUUGCUUGUUUCAAAAUGUUCAUAGCUUGUUACUUAUCUUUUAGGAUAUCUUUACUUAGGUAUAUGUAUCAAUUACACUGUAUAUGUCACUUUUUGAAAUGGCACAAUUUGUGGGAUGAAUUCUAUUUUUCUUCGAUACAGAAUUUAGGGAGAGAGUGUUGAGUGUUGAUUGAUUGUUCCUUGACAUAUCACUAAAAGUUCCAAGUAGAAGACCA
This 229-nucleotide unclassified non-coding RNA is filed under the name Hevea brasiliensis (rubber tree). The record is from RNAcentral. Lineage: Eukaryota; Viridiplantae; Streptophyta; Magnoliopsida; Malpighiales; Euphorbiaceae.